Molecule: non-coding RNA, 282 nt
Organism: Maylandia zebra (zebra mbuna)
Lineage: Eukaryota; Metazoa; Chordata; Actinopteri; Cichliformes; Cichlidae
Source: RefSeq, a predicted model, not a curated record
ACAUUUAAGUGCAUAUAUCUUGCCACAAGACAUGUGCGCUAAGCUAGCCAAAUUAGUUUCUGUUAGCGAAUCAAGUUCAAGCUCCUCACAUAUCAUCAUCCAGGGUACAGUCAUAUGCUCAUGAGGAGAUCCCACGCAGGUGAAGGUGCUGCCCACCCAUGAUACCAGCAAGGUGCGUGCAAGUGGAUCCGGCCUUAACACCACUGGAGCGCCCACCUCUCUGCCAGUGAAGGUCACCAUUGAUGCCAAAGAUGCAGGACCCAGAGGGGAAGCCCAAGAAGC